Molecule: long non-coding RNA, 2681 nt
Filed under: Coturnix japonica (Japanese quail)
Lineage: Eukaryota; Metazoa; Chordata; Aves; Galliformes; Phasianidae
Description: lncRNA (ENSCJPG00005006346.1)
Source: RNAcentral
AGCAGAUUGGCAUGAGCAUGGGGUUGCUUUCACCAGGAGCAGGGAGAUGCAGAGGCUGACAGGCACUGCAGACACCUGCAGCAGGGAGCUCAGCCUUGCUCCAGUUUCCAACAGCACGUGGCAGAAAUGUCCAUCACCUCCCUGACCUCUGUGCAAACCGGAGCGAGUCAGCGUCUCUAAAAUAAGACUGGGAUGCCUGCAGGCAAUGGGCAAAUGCAGAGCUGGGGACAGCUCCUUGUCUUUAAAAAGCACAUCGAUUUCUGCAGUCCUAUCUCCAUUUACACAACUGGGAGAUUUGGCCUUGUGCCUUUCUAGGAGAAGCACAGUGUAUUUGGGGCUAUUUUCUUUCUUUCUCAACAGGAUUCCUCCGUCUCUCGUCUCACAGUGAACACACAAAGGACUGCGACAAGAAACUCAGAGACAAUAGAGGACCCCAACAGCAUACAUUAUUAACAAUGCCUGCAUUCCUUAGUGUCCUUGCUGCUAAAAUUAACACAGCCCGUGUGGCAUCCUGCCAGAGUGAGCAUGGUGCACGUCAUAAAGAAUACAGAAGAUGGAGAAGAGAUUCAGUGUGGCUCUUCACACCGUGGCUCAUAUUAGAAAGCAAGAUGGGACUCCUGCAUUUCAUUUGUCGGAUCUCACCUGCAAAGCAUCUAUCGGUCCUCAGGAAAGCAGGAAGAAAUAAAACAUCCACUGUAAGAAAUGCACCAUCAAGACAGGACUCCCAGUUUGUUGCAAGGAAUAAAGGAGAAAGGGAACAUCUGAGAUCCAAAACUGAUCUGCAUGAGAACAAGCAAAGCAGGAUAUUGGAUUGUUAGGCAUGGUUAAGCCUUCAGUGGAGGUAAUUUGCCACUUUCUUCUCUAGACCAGUGGGAAAGAAGCUAUGCUAUCUAUGGGAAGGAGUUAUAAUCUUACAGAAGGGAUGGCAUUUGCUGAUACCACAGCAUUAUGGCAAGAUGCUAGACAAAUUCUCUCUAAAACUCAUUAACCAUAGAUCAGGGUCAAUGGCUACGAUGUUUGGUAAAGCUCCAUUGCCUGCUUCCAGACAACUAUCACCCUGAAAAGGAUUUCUGUCUAAUUUUGGGCUGGCAGGACUAAAUUCAUCUGAAUUUCUCAAGUGAUUUCAGCAAAAUUACACUGAAUUUGACAUUGGCCAAUCUUUUCUUCUAAAUAUUCUUCUCAGAGAGAUUAGCAAGACCUUGGCUUUAUCCUCCUGUCACGAGACCGCUCCAGUUCCAUCUUCUCCAGUAAUUACAGGAAAUAAUUUUCUGGCAGUUGACCUCUUUGCUCUUAAUCUCUUUGUCUGAUCAUCACAUUAGCCGUUUUCUCCUGAAUUUCCCUGCCUUGGUGGUAUGCAAUAGAUCUCCAUUGUGGGGGUGUUCCUGGUUUGUUUUGUUUUGUUUUUCUUCUUCUCUAACACAAAUGGCCAGUUCAUUUUCAUUCCUCUGCAGCUGAUACCUAACUUUAUUUCUUAUUCCACAUCACAUUGCCCUGCAGAGCUCUCUAUGAACUUCCAUGGCCUUCUACCACUGGUAAUUGAAUAUCCCUAAUUUUUGUAAUAUUCUUCCCCUUUGUACUGAGGAAGUGAGAUGACCCUCACUUUCUGCUAGAGUGCUUUCCAUACGUGAUCUGCACUUGCUCUGAACAAGAGGCUUUGUCUCUUGCAGCAAAAAUACAUGCAAUCUGGGAUACAUUCAGUCACUGUGUAAGAAAGAUUUGUCAGGUAAUUUCAUGUAGCCUCUGCAGCACUGUUCUGAUUAGAAAUUGCCCCAGUUGGAAACUAACUUAAUUUGGAAACUAAGGGUGUCUAUAAGCCUGGUAAGCCUGGUACUUGCAGGCAUCAAAGGACAGUGGCUUGUUGGCUUGAAAGCUUGGUAGACAACAAGCAGAAACACAAAAAAGGGAACUCUUAGAGAAAAAAACAUUAGUACAUAGUGAGGUGAAAUUAUUACCUGGCCUGGUAUACCUUGAGGGAAACAAACCCUGUGUAGGCAAUAUUGAACUAUGAGUAUAGAGGAAGGAAGAUAGCAAUCAUCAUGUAUCAACUCAGCUGGAUGGGAUAAUCUACUGACAGCCACCAUUGUGGAUGAGAUUUCCUGUUGUCAGUCUUCACAUCACACAAAUAGGGUACAAAUACUGGCAUGUGUCUCAGGUGAGAUGUGUCUAAUCUCAAGUAUCUGCUGAUGGCUGUGUUUUAUUAUUCUGACCCAGAAAGAGCUCUCUUUUACCUGUAGUAUUUACCAGUUCACACUAGCUUAACUAUUUAUUUUACCAUUACAUGAAAAACUCAGGUUCAACUUUGCCUUAUGGGGAAAAAACUACCCAACUAUUUGGUUUUAAAGAGUCCUCUCUGCCAAACUUGACUCAAGUUAGCAUUCAGUUAAUCCUUGUAAAGCACAGGCUGGGGUAAGAACAUGCAACACAGGAAAAUAUAGUAUUCUAAGGAUAUCUUAAUCUGACACAGAAAGUAAUAUUUGUAGGAACGCACUUGAGGGAUGUUUGUACCACAAGCACUACAGGAAUUUUGCUUUCACUCUAAGAUUUUGAAGGCUCUCGGUUAAAUGUGUCUAUUCACUUGUAAUAUAUAUGCAGUUCUGCUUAGGAACACUUGAACCUUUCAGUGAUAGACUAAUCUCUGGCUGCUUGCCAUAUAUUUUUAAUAAAGCCUGGACAAAGCAACA